CCUACGGGAGGCAGCAGUGGGGAAUAUUGCACAAUGGGCGAAAGCCUGAUGCAGCAACGCCGCGUGAGCGAUGAAGGCCUUCGGGUCGUAAAGCUCUGUCCUCGAGGACGAUAAUGACGGUACUUGAGGAGGAAGCCCCGGCUAACUACUUGCCAGCAGGCGCUGUCAUACGUAGUGGGCUAGCGUUAUCCGGAAUUACUGGGCGUAAAGGGUGCGGAGGUGGUUUCUUAAGUCAGAGGUGAAGGGCUACGGCGCACCCGUAGUAAGCCUUUGAAACUGGGGAACUUGAGUGCAGGAGAGGGGAGUGGAAUUCCGAGUGUAGCGGUGAAAUGCGUAGAUAUUAGGAGGAACACCAGUGGCGAAGGCGGCUCUCUGGACUGUAACUGACACUGAGGCACGAAAGCGUGGGGAGCAAACAGGAUUAGAUACCCUAGUAGUC
Molecule: ribosomal RNA, 439 nt
Filed under: uncultured bacterium
Lineage: Bacteria
Description: partial 16S ribosomal RNA
Rfam family: Bacterial small subunit ribosomal RNA
Source: RNAcentral